CUUCGAAGCUUUUACCAGACACACUUCCAACCAACCGUCCAUUCCAUCCAUGGUUCGCUUGCACCACAAAUUCGUCUUCUCCAUCUCCUUCCACAUUCGCAGGAGAAAUCAGAGACGCCAGAAUACCUAAAAGAGCCAUAGAAAAAGCACCAGGGGGGGUCGGAUCCCCCUAGGGUCCUUGAUUGUUCGUUUUGAUCCACCUGCAGAAUUAAGAGCAGCCUCUGCUCUGUUUCUCUGUCGGCUCGCAGGCACAUACACGCGUUGGGAGUCGUGGCUGAUUUCUCUGUUUGAUCUCUCCUUUUAUUAGCAAUUCCUCGAAUCGUUGGGUUGAAUUUGAGUUGGGAGAUCAAAUGACGACGGAUUGCUGGCACAAAAUCAUGAGGCCGAUGAAGAAAGUGUGGAAGAAAGUCUCCACACGUAUGGGCCUUCGCAAAUCUGGUCACGUAAAGCUUCACCACGACGUCCUGCAAUGCGAGUAUGAGGAUGUCCACGUCUUAUGGGACAUGCUCAAGAGAAAAGACAUAGACCUCUCAAGAAGCAGGAAGAAGGGACCCUUUUGGGACCUGGUUGAAUGGGCAAAGCACUCUCCCUUGAUUUGCCGAGCUGCUUAAUCGAUCAUCCAUCCAGUUCCCUGACGGUACAUGAUCAUCGUCCAUAACUACAAAUGCAAUGCAUAAUAUCGUCGUUAAGUAUAUAUAUGUAUGUGGGUGAUUCACCGGAAGUGCAUUAUCAUCUAUAUGUUGCCGUAGUCGGUUUGUCUUUUUUGUUUGCCUUGUAUCAUUCUUACAAUUAUAAUUGUAAGAACUACCUUUGAAGCGUCGUGUUGUAUCGAUGUGCUCAAGGUGUAGAAUGCAAUUUGAUGAAUCUCCCUCCUUUCUAAACUGCAUUUCUGUGUCUGUAUAGAAAGAUUGCCAUCAAAUGUGCCUGUGGCCGCAGAGCUAUAUUUCCCAGUAUUUUACGUACUUGUAAGUGUUAUGGAAAAUGGUCUGUACAUUUAUAAAAUAUAUCUGAAUUUACAUAUAAUGUGUGCUUUGUAUUUGUGAUUAAAUAGUUGUACAAUGUGAUAUUUUGCAAAGAAAAAAAAAAAAUGAAAAAAUUA
Molecule: long non-coding RNA, 1099 nt
Organism: Andrographis paniculata
Lineage: Eukaryota; Viridiplantae; Streptophyta; Magnoliopsida; Lamiales; Acanthaceae
Exons: 3
Source: RefSeq, a predicted model, not a curated record